This 897-nucleotide ribosomal RNA is filed under the name Erwinia persicina. RNAcentral describes it as "bacterial SSU rRNA". It matches the Rfam family "Bacterial small subunit ribosomal RNA", at positions 34 to 909 of the family's 1533-position model. Lineage: Bacteria; Pseudomonadati; Pseudomonadota; Gammaproteobacteria; Enterobacterales; Erwiniaceae. The record is from RNAcentral.
CGGGUUGGCGGCAGCCUACACAUGCAGUCGAACGGUAGCACAGAGAGCUUGCUCUUGGGUGACGAGUGGCGGACGGGUGAGUAAUGUCUGGGAAACUGCCCGAUGGAGGGGGAUAACUACUGGAAACGGUAGCUAAUACCGCAUAACGUCUUCGGACCAAAGUGGGGGACCUUCGGGCCUCACACCAUCGGAUGUGCCCAGAUGGGAUUAGCUAGUAGGUGGGGUAAUGGCUCACCUAGGCGACGAUCCCUAGCUGGUCUGAGAGGAUGACCAGCCACACUGGAACUGAGACACGGUCCAGACUCCUACGGGAGGCAGCAGUGGGGAAUAUUGCACAAUGGGCGCAAGCCUGAUGCAGCCAUGCCGCGUGUAUGAAGAAGGCCUUCGGGUUGUAAAGUACUUUCAGCGGGGAGGAAGGCGAUACGGUUAAUAACCGUGUCGAUUGACGUUACCCGCAGAAGAAGCACCGGCUAACUCCGUGCCAGCAGCCGCGGUAAUACGGAGGGUGCAAGCGUUAAUCGGAGUUACUGGGGCGUAAAGCGCACGCAGGCGGUCUGUCAAGUCGGAUGUGAAAUCCCCGGGCUUAACCUGGGAACUGCAUUCUAAACUGGCAGGCUAGAGUCUUGUAGAGGGGGGUAGAAUUCCAGGUGUAGCGGUGAAAUGCGUAGAGAUCUGGAGGAAUACCGGUGGCGAAGGCGGCCCCCUGGACAAAGACUGACGCUCAGGUGCGAAAAGCGUGGGGAGCAAACAGGAUUAGAUUACCUGGUAGUCCACGCCGUAAACGAUGUCGACUUGGAAGGUUGUUCCCUUGAAGGGAGUGGGCUUCCGGAGCUAUCGCGUUAAAGUCCUACCGUCCUCUAUGAGAGUACCGGCCCCCAAGGUUAAACUCCAAAUGAA